This 1260-nucleotide ribosomal RNA is filed under the name metagenome. RNAcentral's name for it is "SSU rRNA". It matches the Rfam family "Eukaryotic small subunit ribosomal RNA", at positions 518 to 1801 of the family's 1831-position model. The record is from RNAcentral.
GUUAAAUUUAAACCCCUUUUACAAAUUCUAUUGGAGGGCAAGUCUGGUGCCAGCAGCCGCGGUAAUUCCAGCUCCAAUAGCGUAUAUUUAAGCUGUUGCAGUUAAAAAGCUCGUAGUUGGAUUUAGGGCUCAGAGCGACUGAACCGCCGUAAAGGUGUGUAGAAGUAUAGCUCUGUCCUUUCUUCUGAGGAUUUAUGGCAACUUUGAUUAGAAACCAUUAUAUUCUCAGAUCGUUUACUUUGAAGAAAUUAGAGUGUUUAAGGCAGGCCAGCGCAUCUGCAUACAUAAGCAUGGAAUAAUGAAAUAGAGCUUUGGUUCUAUUUUGUUGGUUUUGAGUGCCAAAGUGAUGGUUAAUAGGGAUAGUUGGGGGCAUUAGUAUUUAAUUGUCAGAGGUGUAAUUCUCGGAUUUAUGAAAGACUAACUUCUGCGAAAGCAUUUGCCAAGGAUGUUUUCAUUAAUCAAGAACGAAAGUUAGGGGAUCGAAGACGAUCAGACACCGUCCUAGUCCUAACCAUAAACUAUGCCGACUAGGGAUUGGAGGAUGUUAAAUUCCGACUCCUUCAGCACCUUAUGAGAAAUCAAAGUCUUUGGGUUCUGGGGGGAGUAUGGUCGCAAGGCUGAAACUUAAAGGAAUUGACGGAAGGGCACCACCAGGAGUGGAGCCUGCGGCUUAAUUUGACUCAACACGGGGAAACUUACCAGGUCCAGACAUGUGAAGGAUUGACAGAUUGAGAGCUCUUUCUUGAUUUGCAUGGGUGGUGGUGCAUGGCCGUUGUUAGUUGGUGAAGUGAUUUGUCUGGUUAAUUCCGAUAACGAACGAGACCUUAACCUACUAAAUAGCGAACAGAAUCCCUAGGGAUUCUGAUUGUCCUCUUAGAGGGACUAUUCACGUUUAGUGAACGGAAGCUUGAGGCAAUAACAGGUCUGUGAUGCCCUUAGAUGUCCUGGGCCGCACGCGCGCUACACUGAUGAAGUCAACAAGUUUCUUCCUUGAUCGAAAGGUCUGGGUAAUCUUUUGAAACUUCAUCGUGCUGGGGAUAGAUUAUUGCAAUUAUUAAUCUUCAACGAGGAAUUCCUAGUAAGUGCGAGUCAUCAGCUCGCGCUGAUUACGUCCCUGCCCUUUGUACACACCGCCCGUCGCUCCUACCGAUUGAACGAUCCGGUGAAAUCUUCGGACCACAACAGCGCCAUCUGGUGAUCUGUAUGUGGGAAGUUGCUUAAAUCUUAUCGUUUAGAGGAAGGAGAAGUCGUAACAAGGUU